Molecule: transfer RNA, 72 nt
Filed under: Chelydra serpentina (North American snapping turtle)
Lineage: Eukaryota; Metazoa; Chordata; Testudines; Chelydridae
Description: tRNA-Thr
Rfam family: tRNA
About the family: Transfer RNA (tRNA) molecules are approximately 80 nucleotides in length. Their secondary structure includes four short double-helical elements and three loops (D, anti-codon, and T loops). Further hydrogen bonds mediate the characteristic L-shaped molecular structure. tRNAs have two regions of fundamental functional importance: the anti-codon, which is responsible for specific mRNA codon recognition, and the 3' end, to which the tRNAs corresponding amino acid is attached (by aminoacyl-tRNA synthetases). tRNAs cope with the degeneracy of the genetic code in two manners: having more than one tRNA (with a specific anti-codon) for a particular amino acid; and 'wobble' base-pairing, i.e. permitting non-standard base-pairing at the 3rd anti-codon position.
Source: RNAcentral
GGCACCAUGGCUUAGUGGCUAAAGCACCUGUCUAGUAAACAGGAAUCCUGGGUUCAACUCCCAGUGGUGCCU